This is a non-coding RNA of Oryctolagus cuniculus (rabbit), 963 nucleotides long. NCBI's taxonomy places the organism in Eukaryota, Metazoa, Chordata, Mammalia, Lagomorpha, Leporidae. The record is from RefSeq and is a predicted model, not a curated record.
CCUCCCCGCUCUAGGACUGUAAGGACAAAGUUUUAGGAUGGAGAGGCUUGUAUCUAGGUUCGGCUCGGGUAAACACGUAACUUGUUUGCCAGAUGACCUUCUCCUGCUCCUUGGGAGCCUGGCCAGUUCCCAGGGAGGAGGAUAAAGGAAUGUUUCUGAUAAACAGGUGGGCAUGCUUCGUGUCUCGGCUCUCUGGCCAAGAUCCGAGACGGGAUGCACUGCUUGCCUAAAAUCUUGGCAAUGAGCCCCCUUUGUCCUUGGGGGCUUUAAGAGGGAGCCAGAGCAAGCCUCUGCUGCUGCUGUUCCAUCCCGGGGGAACACGCAGUCAUGCUGGACGUUGAACGUGCCCGUGAUGACUACUGAUGAUGCUUCGUUCUCAGUAGGGAUCCUUUUCCGGUGCUGUGUGAAGACUGCCUAGUGAUGCUCACAGUACGGUGAAUUCUACGGAACGUAAGUACAAGGUGGACGUGGAUCAAUUGGCUACUGUGGCAGAGGUGUUCCGUGACAGUCCCUCUGACAAGGGAUUAGCAAAAUGGAUUCACUUAAAAACAGGACAUUCAGGACCUUCCGCUACGCACAGAUCCUUUCUGUUUCUAUUCUCUUCUUGGACCGCUUGUGCUUGGACUCCUGGAACUCCCCUGCAGUUCUGUGGCACCAGGACUACCGUUACCCGCAGAUGGGAUGGAACAAUCACACAAGAUCUCGCCUGAAGAUACCUUCUCCUGUCCUACUAAUCAGCCAUGUUACAUGAUAAAUUUGACAGUAACUGGAUAAAAUGUAACUACUUACACUGGGAGUAAAAAAUGUAAAUGAGUGUACACUGGACACCCCCACCCUGCAUUUGAAUACUUCAUCUGAAGUAAAUGUUACCUGUUGUAAAGUUAUAUUACUAUGUAAAAAGAGAAAUUGUGGUGACAAAAUGUCUGGACUGCAGUAAAACAAUGUAAUCCUUCUAUCACUGAA